UACGGAGGGGGCUAGCGUUGUUCGGAAUUACUGGGCGUAAAGCGCACGUAGGCGGCGAUUUAAGUCAGAGGUGAAAGCCCGGGGCUCAACCCCGGAACUGCCUUUGAGACUGGAUUGCUUGAAUCCGGGAGAGGUGAGUGGAAUUCCGAGUGUAGAGGUGAAAUUCGUAGAUAUUCGGAAGAACACCAGUGGCGAAGGCGGCUCACUGGACCGGCAUUGACGCUGAGGUGCGAAAGCGUGGGGAGCAAACAGG
Molecule: ribosomal RNA, 253 nt
Filed under: uncultured bacterium
Lineage: Bacteria
Description: partial 16S ribosomal RNA
Rfam family: Bacterial small subunit ribosomal RNA
Source: RNAcentral